UUAAAGGAAUUGACGGGGCCCGCACAAGCGGUGGAGCAUGUGGUUAAUUCGACGCAACGCGAAGAACCUUACCAGGGCUUGACAUCCCCUGACCGCGUAUGAAAGUACGUUUUCACCCUCGGGUGACAGGGAGACAGGUGGUGCAUGGUUGUCGUCAGCUCGUGUCGUGAGAUGUUGGGUUAAGUCCCGCAACGAGCGCAACCCCUACGUUUAGUUGCUAACAGGUGAAGCUGAGCACUCUAGACGAACUGCCGUUGACAAAACGGAGGAAGGUGGGAUGACGUCAAAUCAUCAUGCCCCUUAUGUUCUGGGCUACACACGUGCUACAAUGGCCGGUACAGACGGAGGCGAAGCCGCGAGGCGGAGCAAAUCCGAAAAAGCCGGUCUCAGUUCGGAUUGCAGGCUGCAAUUCGCCUGCAUGAAGUCGGAAUCGCUAGUAAUCGCAGGUCAGCAUACUGCGGUGAAUACGUUCCCGGGCCUU
Molecule: ribosomal RNA, 481 nt
Filed under: uncultured Pelotomaculum sp.
Lineage: Bacteria; Bacillati; Bacillota; Clostridia; Eubacteriales; Desulfotomaculaceae
Description: bacterial SSU rRNA
Rfam family: Bacterial small subunit ribosomal RNA
Source: RNAcentral